Molecule: ribosomal RNA, 465 nt
Filed under: uncultured bacterium
Lineage: Bacteria
Description: partial 16S ribosomal RNA
Rfam family: Bacterial small subunit ribosomal RNA
Source: RNAcentral
CCUACGGGUGGCAGCAGUGGGGAAUAUUGCGCAAUGGGCGAAAGCCUGACGCAGCGACGCCGCGUGAGGGAUGAAGGUCUUCGGAUCGUAAACCUCUGUCAGCAGGGAAGAACGGUCACUGUGCUAAUCAGCAGUGAAUUGACGGUACCUGCAAAGGAAGCACCGGCUAACUCCGUGCCAGCAGCCGCGGUAAUACGGAGGGUGCGAGCGUUAAUCGGAAUUACUGGGCGUAAAGCGCUCGUAGGCGGUAUGUCAAGUCAAGGGUGAAAUCCCCGCGCUAAACGUGGGAACUGCCUUUGAAACUGGCAAACUGGAGUGUGUGAGAGGAUAGUGGAAUUCCAGGUGUAGGAGUGAAAUGCGUAGAUAUCUGGAGGAACAUCAGUGGCGAAGGCGACUAUCUGGCACAUAACUGACGCUGAGGAGCGAAAGCGUGGGUAGCAAACAGGAUUAGAUACCCUGGUAGUC